This 510-nucleotide ribosomal RNA is filed under the name uncultured Escherichia sp. Its description in RNAcentral is "bacterial SSU rRNA". It matches the Rfam family "Bacterial small subunit ribosomal RNA", at positions 8 to 506 of the family's 1533-position model. Lineage: Bacteria; Pseudomonadati; Pseudomonadota; Gammaproteobacteria; Enterobacterales; Enterobacteriaceae. The record is from RNAcentral.
AGAGUUUGAUCCUGGCUCAGAUUGAACGCUGGCGGCAGGCCUAACACAUGCAAGUCGAACGGUAACAGGAAGCAGCUUGCUGCUUUGCUGACGAGUGGCGGACGGGUGAGUAAUGUCUGGGAAACUGCCUGAUGGAGGGGGAUAACUACUGGAAACGGUAGCUAAUACCGCAUAACGUCGCAAGACCAAAGAGGGGGAACCUUCGGGCCUCUUGCCAUCGGAUGUGCCCAGAUGGGAUUAGCUAGUAGGUGGGGUAAAGGCUCACCUAGGCGACGAUCCCUAGCUGGUCUGAGAGGAUGACCAGCCACACUGGAACUGAGACACGGUCCAGACUCCUACGGGAGGCAGCAGUGGGGAAUAUUGCACAAUGGGCGCAAGCCUGAUGCAGCCAUGCCGCGUGUAUGAAGAAGGCCUUCGGGUUGUAAAGUACUUUCAGCGGGGAGGAAGGGAGUAAAGUUAAUACCUUUGCUCAUUGACGUUACCCGCAGAAGAAGCACCGGCUAACUCCGU